This 253-nucleotide ribosomal RNA is filed under the name uncultured bacterium. Its description in RNAcentral is "partial 16S ribosomal RNA". It matches the Rfam family "Bacterial small subunit ribosomal RNA", at positions 524 to 776 of the family's 1533-position model. The record is from RNAcentral.
UACGGAGGGUGCAAGCGUUAUCCGGAUUUACUGGGUUUAAAGGGUGCGUAGGCGGGCAGGUAAGUCAGAGGUGAAAUCUCCGGGCUUAACCCGGAAACUGCCUUUGAUACUAUCUGUCUUGAAUAUGGUGGAGGUAAGCGGAAUAUGUCAUGUAGCGGUGAAAUGCUUAGAGAUGACAUAGAACACCUAUUGCGAAGGCAGCUGGCUAGACCGGGAUUGACGCUGAGGCACGAAAGCGUGGGGAGCGAACAGG